GUGGGGAAUAUUGGACAAUGGGCGAAAGCCUGAUCCAGCCAUGCCGCGUGUGUGAAGAAGGUCUUCGGAUUGUAAAGCACUUUAAGUUGGGAGGAAGGGCAGUAAGUUAAUACCUUGCUGUUUUGACGUUACCGACAGAAUAAGCACCGGCUAACUUCGUGCCAGCAGCCGCGGUAAUACGAAGGGUGCAAGCGUUAAUCGGAAUUACUGGGCGUAAAGCGCGCGUAGGUGGUUUUGUAAGUUGAAGGUGAAAUCCCCGGGCUCAACCUGGGAACUGCCUCCAAAACUGCAUGACUAGAGUACGGUAGAGGGUAGUGGAAUUUCCUGUGUAGCGGUGAAAUGCGUAGAUAUAGGAAGGAACACCAGUGGCGAAGGCGACUACCUGGACUGAUACUGACACUGAGGUGCGAAAGCGUGGGGAGCAAACAGGAUUAGAAACCCUAGUAGUCC
This 450-nucleotide ribosomal RNA is filed under the name uncultured bacterium. RNAcentral's name for it is "partial 16S ribosomal RNA". It matches the Rfam family "Bacterial small subunit ribosomal RNA", at positions 354 to 796 of the family's 1533-position model. The record is from RNAcentral.